This 435-nucleotide ribosomal RNA is filed under the name uncultured bacterium. RNAcentral's name for it is "partial 16S ribosomal RNA". It matches the Rfam family "Bacterial small subunit ribosomal RNA", at positions 29 to 507 of the family's 1533-position model. The record is from RNAcentral.
AGCGAACGCUGGCGGCAUGCUUAACACAUGCAAGUCGCACGGAUCUUUCGGGAUCAGUGUCGGAGGGGUGAUUACCGCGUAGUGAUCUAUCCAUAGGUGGGGUACAACUCCGGGAAACUGGACCUUAUACCGCAUGAUACCUUAGCGUCAAAGCCUCAAGUCGCCUGUGGAGGAACCUGCGUUCGAUUAGAUAGUUGGUGAGGUAAAGGCCUACAAAGGCUAUGCUCGAUAGCUGGUUUGAGAGGAUGACCAGCCACACUGCGACAGGGACACGACGCAGAUUCCUACGGAAGGAAGGAGUGGGGAAUAUUGGACAAUGGGCGAGAGCAUGAUCCAGCCGUGCCGCGUGUGUGAAGAAGGUGUGAGGAUCGUAAAGCACUGUGGACGGGGACGAUGAUGACGGUACCCGUAGAAGAAGCCCCGGCUAACUUCGUG